CUAGACAGACGGGCCUCGAUCCCGUGAAUCUCUAAUUAACAGCUAGAUGCCCAAACCAACAGGCUUCUGCCUA
Molecule: transfer RNA, 73 nt
Filed under: Stercorarius skua (great skua)
Lineage: Eukaryota; Metazoa; Chordata; Aves; Charadriiformes; Stercorariidae
Description: tRNA-Asn
Source: RNAcentral